CAAGACUCAUAAGACCCUUCUUACAUCAU
This 29-nucleotide transfer RNA is filed under the name Paralaudakia stoliczkana (Mongolia rock agama). RNAcentral describes it as "partial tRNA-Ala". Lineage: Eukaryota; Metazoa; Chordata; Lepidosauria; Squamata; Agamidae. The record is from RNAcentral.